This 166-nucleotide non-coding RNA is filed under the name Corethron pennatum. Lineage: Eukaryota; Bacillariophyta; Corethrophyceae; Corethrales; Corethraceae. The record is from RNAcentral.
UAAUAUUUGUCUUUGAAUUAUUUUUUUACAAUUUUUGUUUCAUUUUUAUCUGACCUAAUGACCUCACAUUUUUAAUGAAGUGGGCUAUGCUUCCACAGACAAAAGGAGCCAAGUUUUUGUAUGACACUUUUCUUAAAGACAUUUUGAAAAAAAAUGAAAAGAAAUU